UACAGAGGGUGCGAGCGUUAAUCGGAAUUACUGGGCGUAAAGCGCACGUAGGUGGCGACGUAAGUCGGGUGUGAAAGCCCCGGGCUCAACCUGGGAAUUGCAUUCGAGACUGCAUUGCUGGAGUACGGAAGAGGAAGGCGGAAUUCCCGGUGUAGCGGUGAAAUGCGUAGAUAUCGGAAGGAACACCGGUGGCGAAAGCGGCGCGCUGGACCUCUUCUGACGCUGAGGCGCGAAAGCCAGGGGAGCAAACGGG
RNAcentral lists this ribosomal RNA (253 nucleotides) under uncultured bacterium. RNAcentral's name for it is "partial 16S ribosomal RNA". It matches the Rfam family "Bacterial small subunit ribosomal RNA", at positions 524 to 776 of the family's 1533-position model. The record is from RNAcentral.